This 254-nucleotide ribosomal RNA is filed under the name uncultured bacterium. RNAcentral's name for it is "partial 16S ribosomal RNA". It matches the Rfam family "Bacterial small subunit ribosomal RNA", at positions 524 to 776 of the family's 1533-position model. The record is from RNAcentral.
UACGUAGGGGCCUAGCGUUGUCCGGAUUUAUUGGGCGUAAAGAGCUCGUAGGCGGCUUGGUAAGUCAGGUGUGAAAUCUCCACGCUCAACGUGGAGGGGCCACCCGAAACUGCCAUGGCUUGAGUCCGGUAGGGGAGUGUGGAAUUCCCGGUGUAGCGGUGAAAUGCGCAGAUAUCGGGAGGAACACCCGUGGCGAAGGCGGCUCUCUGGGACGGUACUGACGCUGAGACGCGAAAGCGUGGGGAGCGAACAGG